UUAAACGAUGUCGACUUGGNAGNUGUNNNGCCCUUGAGGCGUGGCUUCCGGAGCUAACGCGUUAAGUCGACCGCCUGGGGAGUACGGCCGCAAGGUUAAAACUCAAAUGAAUUGACGGGGGCCCGCACAAGCGGUGGAGCAUGUGGUUUAAUUCGAUGCAACGCGAAGAACCUUACCUACUCUUGACAUCCAGAGAACUUUCCAGAGAUGGAUUGGUGCCUUCGGGAACUCUGAGACAGGUGCUGCAUGGCUGUCGUCAGCUCGUGUUGUGAAAUGUUGGGUUAAGUCCCGCAACGAGCGCAACCCUUAUCCUUUGUUGCCAGCGGUCCGGCCGGGAACUCAAAGGAGACUGCCAGUGAUAAACUGGAGGAAGGUGGGGAUGACGUCAAGUCAUCAUGGCCCUUACGAGUAGGGCUACACACGUGCUACAAUGGCGCAUACAAAGAGAAGCGACCUCGCGAGAGCAAGCGGACCUCAUAAAGUGCGUCGUAGUCCGGAUUGGAGUCUGCAACUCGACUCCAUGAAGUCGGAAUCGCUAGUAAUCGUAGAUCAGAAUGCUACGGUGAAUACGUUCCCGGGCCUUGUGCACACCGCCCGUCACACCAUGGGAGUGGGUUGCGAAAGAAGUAGGUAGCUUAACCUUCGGGAGGGCGCUUACCACUUUGUG
RNAcentral lists this ribosomal RNA (667 nucleotides) under Enterobacter sp. RNAcentral's name for it is "bacterial SSU rRNA". It matches the Rfam family "Bacterial small subunit ribosomal RNA", at positions 801 to 1466 of the family's 1533-position model. The record is from RNAcentral. Lineage: Bacteria; Pseudomonadati; Pseudomonadota; Gammaproteobacteria; Enterobacterales; Enterobacteriaceae.